This 292-nucleotide ribosomal RNA is filed under the name Shigella sonnei. RNAcentral's name for it is "partial 23S ribosomal RNA". It matches the Rfam family "Bacterial large subunit ribosomal RNA", at positions 2639 to 2925 of the family's 2925-position model. The record is from RNAcentral. Lineage: Bacteria; Pseudomonadati; Pseudomonadota; Gammaproteobacteria; Enterobacterales; Enterobacteriaceae.
UAUCUGCCGUGGGCGAUGGAGAACUGAGGGGGGCUGCUCCUAGUACGAGAGGACCGGAGUGGACGCAUCACUGGUGUUCGGGUUGUCAUGCCAAUGGCACUGCCCGGUAGCUAAAUGCGGAAGAGAUAAGUGCUGAAAGCAUCUAAGCACGAAACUUGCCCCGAGAUGAGUUCUCCCUGACCCUUUAAGGGUCCUGAAGGAACGUUGAAGACGACGACGUUGAUAGGCCGGGUGUGUAAGCGCAGCGAUGCGUUGAGCUAACCGGUACUAAUGAACCGUGAGGCUUAACCUU